This 398-nucleotide ribosomal RNA is filed under the name uncultured bacterium. Its description in RNAcentral is "bacterial SSU rRNA". It matches the Rfam family "Bacterial small subunit ribosomal RNA", at positions 357 to 773 of the family's 1533-position model. The record is from RNAcentral.
GGGAAUAUUGCACAAUGGGCGAAAGCCUGAUGCAGCAACGCCGCGUGAGCGAUGAAGGCCUUCGGGUCGUAAAGCUCUGUCCUCAAGGAAGAUAAUGACGGUACUUGAGGAGGAAGCCCCGGCUAACUACGUGCCAGCAGCCGCGGUAAUACGUAGGGGGCUAGCGUUAUCCGGAAUUACUGGGCGUAAAGGGUGCGUAGGUGGUUUCUUAAGUCAGAGGUGAAAGGCUACGGCUCAACCGUAGUAAGCCUUUGAAACUGGGAAACUUGAGUGCAGGAGAGGAGAGUGGAAUUCCUAGUGUAGCGGUGAAAUGCGUAGAUAUUAGGAGGAACACCAGUUGCGAAGGCGGCUCUCUGGACUGUAACUGACACUGAGGCACGAAAGCGUGGGGAGCAAAC